This 382-nucleotide ribosomal RNA is filed under the name uncultured eukaryote. RNAcentral's name for it is "partial 18S ribosomal RNA". It matches the Rfam family "Eukaryotic small subunit ribosomal RNA", at positions 592 to 976 of the family's 1831-position model. The record is from RNAcentral.
UGUAAGCGUAUACCAAAGUUGUUGCAGUUAAAACGCUCGUAGUCGGAAUUUGGCAGUUCCGGAUGUGUGCACGUCGUGUGCGCACUUCGCGGGGAUUGCUUUUGUGGUCUUGCGUAGGAUGAGGCACUUUUAUUAGUGAACGUCCUCACGCAACCACUUUUUACUGUGAGAAAAUCAGAGUGCUCAGAGCAGGCAUUUGCCGUGAAUGUAUUAGCAUGGAAUAAUAGAAUAGGACUUGGUUCUAUUUUGUUGGUUUGUUGGGACUGAGUAAUGAUUAAGAGGGACAGUUGGGGGCAUUUGUAUUUCGGUGCUAGAGGUGAAAUUCUUAGAUUACCGAAAGACAAACUGCUGCGAAAGCGUCUGCCAAGGAUGUUUUCAUUGA